RNAcentral lists this ribosomal RNA (253 nucleotides) under uncultured bacterium. RNAcentral's name for it is "partial 16S ribosomal RNA". It matches the Rfam family "Bacterial small subunit ribosomal RNA", at positions 524 to 776 of the family's 1533-position model. The record is from RNAcentral.
UACGUAGGUGGCAAGCGUUGUCCGGAAUUAUUGGGCGUAAAGCGCGCGCAGGCGGUCCUUUAAGUCUGAUGUGAAAGCCCACGGCUCAACCGUGGAGGGUCAUUGGAAACUGGGGGACUUGAGUGCAGGAGAGAAGAGUGGAAUUCCACGUGUAGCGGUGAAAUGCGUAGAGAUGUGGAGGAACACCAGUGGCGAAGGCGACUCUCUGGGACGGUACUGACGCUGAGACGCGAAAGCGUGGGGAGCGAACAGG